AGAGUUUGAUCCUGGCUCAGGACGAACGCUGGCGGCACGCUUAACACAUGCAAGUCGAACGAGAGAAGAGGAGCUUGCUUUUCUGAUCUAGUGGCGGACGGGUGAGUAACACGUGAGCAAUCUGCCUUUCAGAGGGGGAUACCGAUUGGAAACGAUCGUUAAUACCGCAUAACAUAAUUGAACCGCAUGAUUUGAUUAUCAAAGAUUUAUCGCUGAAAGAUGAGCUCGCGUCUGAUUAGCUAGUUGGUAAGGUAACGGCUUACCAAGGCGACGAUCAGUAGCCGGACUGAGAGGUUGAUCGGCCACAUUGGGACUGAGACACGGCCCAGACCCCUACGGGAGGCAGCAGUGGGGAAUAUUGCACAAUGGAGGAAACUCUGAUGCAGCGAUGCCGCGUGAGGGAAGAAGGUUUUAGGAUUGUAAACCUCUGUCUUCAGGGACGAAAAAAGACGGUACCUGAGGAGGAAGCUCCGGCUAACUACGUGCCAGCAGCCGCGGUAAUACGUAGGGAGCGAGCGUUGUCCGGAAUUACUGGGUGUAAAGGGAGCGUAGGCGGGAUCGCAAGUCAGAUGUGAAAACUAUGGGCUUAACCCAUAAACUGCAUUUGAAACUGUGGUUCUUGAGUGAAGUAGAGGUAAGCGGAAUUCCUAGUGUAGCGGUGAAAUGCGUAGAUAUUAGGAGGAACAUCAGUGGCGAAGGCGGCUUACUGGGCUUUAACUGACGCUGAGGCUCGAAAGCGUGGGGAGCAAACAGGAUUAGAUACCCUGGUAGUCCACGCCGUAAACGAUGAUUACUAGGUGUGGGGGGACUGACCCCUUCCGUGCCGCAGCAAACGCAAUAAGUAAUCCACCUGGGGAGUACGACCGCAAGGUUGAAACUCAAAGGAAUUGACGGGGGCCCGCACAAGCAGUGGAGUAUGUGGAUUGAUUCGAAGCAACGCGAAGAACCUUACCAGGUCUUGACAUCGUAUGCAUAGCUCAGAGAUGAGUGAAAUCUCUUCGGAGACAUAUAGACAGGUGGUGCAUGGUUGUCGUCAGCUCGUGUCGUGAGAUGUUGGGUUAAGUCCCGCAACGAGCGCAACCCUUACUGUUAGUUGCUACGCAAGAGCACUCUAGCAGGACUGCCGUUGACAAAACGGAGGAAGGUGGGGAUGACGUCAAAUCAUCAUGCCCCUUAUGACCUGGGCCUCACACGUACUACAAUGGCUGUCAACAGAGGGAAGCAAAGCCGCGAGGUGGAGCGAACCCCUAAAAGCAGUCUUAGUUCGGAUUGUAGGCUGCAACCCGCCUACAUGAAGUCGGAAUUGCUAGUAAUCGCAGAUCAGCAUGCUGCGGUGAAUACGUUCCCGGGCCUUGUACACACCGCCCGUCACGCCAUGGGAGUCGGUAACACCCGGAGCCUGUAGUCUAACCGCAAGGAGGACGCAGUCGAAGGUGGGAUUGAUGACUGGGGUGAAGUCGUAACAAGGUA
RNAcentral lists this ribosomal RNA (1470 nucleotides) under metagenome. RNAcentral's name for it is "bacterial SSU rRNA". It matches the Rfam family "Bacterial small subunit ribosomal RNA". The record is from RNAcentral.